GACGAACGCUGGCGGCGUGCUUAACACAUGCGAGUCGAACGGAAAGGCCCUGCUUUUGUGGGGUGCUCGAGUAGCGAACGGGUGCGUAACACGAGAGUAACCUGCCCUCGACUUUGAGAUAACUUCAGGAAACCGGGGCUAAUACCGGAUAGGAGCUCCCGCUGCAUGGUGGGGGUUGGAAAGUUUCGGCGGUUGGGGAUGGACUCGCGGCUUAUCCGCUUGUUGGUGGGGUAGUGGCUUACGAAGGCGUUGACGGGUAGCCGGCCUGGGAGGGUGACCGGCCACAUUGGGACUGAGAUGCGGCCCAGACUCCUACGGGAGGCAGCAGUGGGGAAUAUUGCACAAUGGGCGGAAGCCUGAUGCAGCAACGCCGCGUGCGGGAUGACGGCCUUCGGGUUGGAAACCGCUUGCGCCUGUGACGAAGCGUGAGUGACGGUAAUGGGUAAAGAAGCACCGGCUAACUACGUG
RNAcentral lists this ribosomal RNA (468 nucleotides) under uncultured bacterium. RNAcentral describes it as "partial 16S ribosomal RNA". It matches the Rfam family "Bacterial small subunit ribosomal RNA", at positions 28 to 507 of the family's 1533-position model. The record is from RNAcentral.